RNAcentral lists this ribosomal RNA (777 nucleotides) under Lactococcus lactis. Its description in RNAcentral is "bacterial SSU rRNA". It matches the Rfam family "Bacterial small subunit ribosomal RNA", at positions 42 to 805 of the family's 1533-position model. Lineage: Bacteria; Bacillati; Bacillota; Bacilli; Lactobacillales; Streptococcaceae. The record is from RNAcentral.
GUUGGCCCAACUGAUUGAACGUGCUUGCACGGACUUGACGUUGGUUUACCAGCGAGUGGCGGACGGGUGAGUAACACGUAGGUAACCUGCCCCAAAGCGGGGGAUAACAUUUGGAAACAGAUGCUAAUACCGCAUAACAAUUUGAAUCGCAUGAUUCAAAUUUAAAAGAUGGCUUCGGCUAUCACUUUGGGAUGGACCUGCGGCGCAUUAGCUUGUUGGUAGGGUAACGGCCUACCAAGGCUGUGAUGCGUAGCCGAGUUGAGAGACUGAUCGGCCACAAUGGAACUGAGACACGGUCCAUACUCCUACGGGAGGCAGCAGUAGGGAAUCUUCCACAAUGGGCGCAAGCCUGAUGGAGCAACACCGCGUGAGUGAAGAAGGGUUUCGGCUCGUAAAGCUCUGUUGUUAGAGAAGAACGUGCGUGAGAGUAACUGUUCACGCAGUGACGGUAUCUAACCAGAAAGUCACGGCUAACUACGUGCCAGCAGCCGCGGUAAUACGUAGGUGGCAAGCGUUAUCCGGAUUUAUUGGGCGUAAAGCGAGCGCAGGCGGUUUGAUAAGUCUGAUGUGAAAGCCUUUGGCUUAACCAAAGAAGUGCAUCGGAAACUGUCAGACUUGAGUGCAGAAGAGGACAGUGGAACUCCAUGUGUAGCGGUGGAAUGCGUAGAUAUAUGGAAGAACACCAGUGGCGAAGGCGGCUGUCUGGUCUGCAACUGACGCUGAGGCUCGAAAGCAUGGGUAGCGAACAGGAUUAGAUACCUCGGGUAGUCCCCUUCA